CCUACGGGGGGCAGCAGUCGAGAAUUAUUCACAAUGGGGGAAACCCUGAUGGUGCGACGCCGUGUGGGGGAAUGAAGGUCUUCGGAUUGUAAACCCCUGUCAUGUGGGAGCAAAUUAAAAAGAUCGUACCACAAGAGGAAGAGACGGCUAACUCUGUGCCAGCAGCCGCGGUAAUACAGAGGUCUCAAGCGUUGUUCGGAAUCACUGGGCGUAAAGCGUGCGUAGGCUGUUUCGUAAGUCGUGUGUGAAAGGCGCGGGCUCAACCCGCGGACGGCACAUGAUACUGCGAGACUAGAGUAAGGGAGGGGGAACCGGAAUUCUCGGUGUAGCAGUGAAAUGCGUAGAUAUCGAGAGGAACACUCGUGGCGAAGGCGGGUUCCUGGACAUUAACUGACGCUGAGGCACGAAGGCCAGGGGAGCGAAAGGGAUUAGAUACCCCAGUAGUC
RNAcentral lists this ribosomal RNA (446 nucleotides) under uncultured bacterium. RNAcentral describes it as "partial 16S ribosomal RNA". It matches the Rfam family "Bacterial small subunit ribosomal RNA", at positions 338 to 795 of the family's 1533-position model. The record is from RNAcentral.